RNAcentral lists this ribosomal RNA (742 nucleotides) under uncultured eukaryote. RNAcentral's name for it is "bacterial SSU rRNA". It matches the Rfam family "Eukaryotic small subunit ribosomal RNA", at positions 674 to 1426 of the family's 1831-position model. The record is from RNAcentral.
GGGCCACCGUUUGUUGAGUGCAAAUAUGGAUGACUGUUUUUGCCGGCUUCACUGUCGGCUUAUAAGGGUUAUCAAAUAUCACUUUGAUUAAAUUAGAGUGCUCAAAGCAAGUGUGUUACUUGGAUAUAAAUGCAUGGAAUGAUGGAAUAUGUUGUUAUUCUAUUUGUCGGUUUUUGAACGAUGAAAUGAUUGAAAGGAACCGUUGGGGGCAUUCGUAUUGUUGUGAGAGAGGUGAAAUUCUUAGACCACAGCAAGACGAACUACUGCGAAAGCAUUUGACCCAGGACAUCUCCAUUGAUCAAGGGCUAAAGUUGAGGGAUCGAAGACGAUUAGAUACCGUCGUAGUCUUAACCACAAACGAUGCCGACUAGAGAUCGGGCUUGACUAUUGAGGCUUGCUCGGGAUCUUAGCGAAAGCAAAGUUUUUGGGUUCUGGGGGGAGUACGGCUCGCAAGGCUGAAACUUAAAGGAAUUGACGGAAGGGCACCACCAGGAGUGGAGCCUGCGGCUUAAUUUGACUCAACACGGGGAAACUCACCAGGUCCAGACAUACGGAGGAUUGACAGAUUGAAAGCUCUUUCUAGAUUGUAUGGGUGGUGGUGCAUGGCCGUUCUUAGUUCGUGGAGUGAUUUGUCUGGUUAAUUCCGAUAACGAACGAGACCUUAUUCUGCUAAAUAGACAGACUCAUUUUUUAAUGGGGUUGAAGGCUUCGGUCUUUGCUGUCUUCUUAGAGAGACUAUCGU